This 492-nucleotide ribosomal RNA is filed under the name uncultured bacterium. Its description in RNAcentral is "partial 16S ribosomal RNA". It matches the Rfam family "Bacterial small subunit ribosomal RNA", at positions 29 to 507 of the family's 1533-position model. The record is from RNAcentral.
AGUGAACGCUGGCGGUGGGCCUAACACAUGCAAGUCGAACGGCAGCACAGUAAGAGCUUGCUCUUACGGGUGGCGAGUGGCGGACGGGUGAGGAAUACAUCGGAAUCUACUUUUUCGUGGGGGAUAACGUAGGGAAACUUACGCUAAUACCGCAUACGACCUACGGGUGAAAGCAGGGGAUCUUCGGGCCUUGCGCGAUUGAAUGAGCCGAUGUCGGAUUAGCUAGUUGGCGGGGUAAAGGCCCACCAAGGCGACGAUCCGUAGCUGGUCUGAGAGGAUGAUCAGCCACACUGGAACUGAGACACGGUCCAGACUCCUACGGGAGGCAGCAGUGGGGAAUAUUGGACAAUGGGCGCAAGCCUGAUCCAGCCAUACCGCGUGGGUGAAGAAGGCCUUCGGGUUGUAAAGCCCUUUUGUUGGGAAAGAAAAGCAGCAGGUUAAUACCCCGCUGUUCUGACGGUACCCAAAGAAUAAGCACCGGCUAACUUCGUG